Molecule: unclassified non-coding RNA, 253 nt
Filed under: uncultured Pseudobdellovibrionaceae bacterium
Lineage: Bacteria; Pseudomonadati; Bdellovibrionota; Bdellovibrionia; Bdellovibrionales; Pseudobdellovibrionaceae
Description: uncultured Bdellovibrionaceae bacterium contains 16S-23S intergenic spacer region
Rfam family: Bacterial small subunit ribosomal RNA
Source: RNAcentral
UACGAGGGGUCCUAGCGUUGCUCAGAAUCAUUGGGCGUAAAGCGGAUGUAGGCGGAUUGCUAAGUCAGAUGUGAAAGUCCUGGGCUCAACCCAGGAAGUGCAUUUGAUACUGGUGAUCUUGAGUGCAGUAGAGGAAGGUAGAAUUCCAAGUGUAGUGGUGAAAUACGUAGAUAUUUGGAGGAACACCGGUGGCGAAGGCGGCCUUCUGGACUGUUACUGACGCUGAGAUCCGAAAGCGUGGGGAUCAAACAGG